GCCGAGGUGGUGAAAUUGGGAAACACGCCAGCCCUAGGAGCUGGUGCCCGCAAGGGCUUGUGGGUUCGACCCCCACCCUCGGCA
This 84-nucleotide transfer RNA is filed under the name Candidatus Jorgensenbacteria bacterium CG23_combo_of_CG06-09_8_20_14_all_54_14. RNAcentral's name for it is "tRNA-Leu". It matches the Rfam family "tRNA". From Rfam's summary of the family: Transfer RNA (tRNA) molecules are approximately 80 nucleotides in length. Their secondary structure includes four short double-helical elements and three loops (D, anti-codon, and T loops). The record is from RNAcentral. Lineage: Bacteria; Candidatus Joergenseniibacteriota.